CCUACGGGGGGCUGCAGUGGGGAAUAUUGGACAAUGGGGGCAACCCUGAUCCAGCCAUGCCGCGUGUGUGAAGAAGGCCCUCGGGUUGUAAAGCACUUUCAGUGAGGAAGAACGCCUGGUGGUUAAUACCCAUCAGGAAAGACAUCACUCACAGAAGAAGCACCGGCUAACUCCGUGCCAGCAGCCGCGGUAAUACGGAGGGUGCGAGCGUUAAUCGGAAUUACUGGGCGUAAAGCGCGCGUAGGUGGCUUGAUAAGCCGGUUGUGAAAGCCCCGGGCUCAACCUGGGAACGACAUCCGGAACUGUCAAGCUAGAGUGCAGGAGAGGAAGGUAGAAUUCCCGGUGUAGCGGUGAAAUGCGUAGAGAUCGGGAGGAAUACCAGUGGCGAAGGCGGCCUUCUGGACUGACACUGACACUGAGGUGCGAAAGCGUGGGUAGCAAACAGGAUUAGAUACCCCAGUAGUC
This 465-nucleotide ribosomal RNA is filed under the name Vreelandella stevensii. Its description in RNAcentral is "partial 16S ribosomal RNA". It matches the Rfam family "Bacterial small subunit ribosomal RNA", at positions 338 to 795 of the family's 1533-position model. The record is from RNAcentral. Lineage: Bacteria; Pseudomonadati; Pseudomonadota; Gammaproteobacteria; Oceanospirillales; Halomonadaceae.